Juglans microcarpa x Juglans regia is the source of this 660-nucleotide long non-coding RNA. RefSeq lists it as uncharacterized. The transcript is spliced from 3 exons. Lineage: Eukaryota; Viridiplantae; Streptophyta; Magnoliopsida; Fagales; Juglandaceae. The record is from RefSeq and is a predicted model, not a curated record.
GGUGCUUGAAAAGAAAUGGGCCCUUCUUUCAGAAGGGCUCCAAGUCCUUAGUUGGGCCAUCACCGGCAUGGGACCUCAUUGCCAGCAACUUCUAGGGCUGUUCCCAACCAUCUUUGCAGCAGGUUCAAGGGGGGUGACUUGAAUGUCUCUCGUUUCCCGAGUGAGAGAUCAGGUUUAUCCCACAUCACACCUACUAUGAGGGAUUUUUCUGACAUCAUUUCAGAACAGGCACUUAUGGAUAUUCCGCUAACGGGAGGUUCGUAUACUUGGUCUAACACUCGUGAACUUCCAUCCUGGUCGAGAAUUGAUAGAUUUUUGCUAACUCCAAAAUGGGAGUUACAUUUUCCAGAGGUAACUCAGAGAAGAUUACCUAGGGUAUGCUCAGACCACUUCCCCAUCCUUUUAGACUAUGGAGGCAUCCAAGGAGGCAGAAGGUAUUUUAAAUUCAAAAAUAUGUGGCUUAAGACUGACGGUUUUGUAGACAGGGUACGACAAUGGUGGUCUUCUCAUGAUUUCCAAGGCUCUCCAAGCUUCAUAAUCGCGAAAAAGCUAAAAGCGCUGAAACAAGAUUUGAAGUAAUGGAAUGAACAAGUCUUUGGCAAUGUAGGUCUACAACGACGCUCCCUUCUAGAGGAGCUACAGGGUUUGGAGGGUAAGGAG